RNAcentral lists this unclassified non-coding RNA (224 nucleotides) under root metagenome. RNAcentral describes it as "partial contains small subunit ribosomal RNA, internal transcribed spacer 1, and 5.8S ribosomal RNA". The record is from RNAcentral.
UUUCCGUAGGUGAACCUGCGGAAGGAUCAUUAUCGAGAGUCCACCUCUCCACCCUUUGUGUACCAUCCUCCGUUUCUUCGGCGGGCCGGACCGGCCGCCGGUCCCCUCUACGGUGGACCUGCUGGUGGCCCCUGGCCCGUCGGUAGUAACUCUGUGGUCGAACGUGUCGUCUGAGUUUGGCUUCUAAUAGAACAAAACUUUCAACAACGGAUCUCUUGGUUCUG